Molecule: ribosomal RNA, 217 nt
Filed under: uncultured bacterium
Lineage: Bacteria
Description: partial 16S ribosomal RNA
Rfam family: Bacterial small subunit ribosomal RNA
Source: RNAcentral
GUACUCAGUUCGGAUUGAAGGCUGAAAUUCGCCUUCAUGAAGCUGGAAUUGCUAGUAAUGGCAGGUCAGCAUACUGCCGUGAAUACGUUCCCGGGCCUUGUACACACCGCCCGUCACACCAUGAGAGUUGGGAAUACCCGAAGCCUGUGAGCUAACUGUAAGGAGGCAGCAGUCGAAGGUAGAAUCAAUGAUUGGGGUGAAGUCGUAACAAGGUAAC